AUGAGCAUGCUCCGCCGCGCUCUCCUGUUCGGCCACCGCCUCCGCCGAGGCUUCUCCUCGGGUGCGGACCUUCCUCCGCCGCGCCCAUCUGCCUGCCGCCGCGUGGUCGUGACGGGGCUGGGCGCCGUCACGCCGCUCGGCCGCGGCGUCGGGUCCACCUGGGACCGCCUCGUGGCCGGAGACUGCGCGGUGCGCGCGCUCGCCGCGGAGGACCUACGCCUCACCGGGGAUGCCGCGGGGAGGACGUUGGAGCAGCUCCCAUCGAGGGUCUUCGCCGCCGUGCCGCGCGGGAAGGGCGAGGCCGAGUUCGACGAGGAGGCGUGGACCAAGGACAGUAGAUCUAUAUCGGGAUUUAUAGCAUAUGCUCUAUGUGCAGCUGAUGAGGCUUUGAGAGAUGCAAAUUGGCUGCCCUCGGAAAAUGAGAAGAAGGAAAGAACGGGUGUUUCAAUUGGUGGGGGAAUCGGAAGCAUCUCAGACAUUUUAGAUGCAUCACAGCUGAUUGCUGAAAAUCGUCUACGUCGUCUCAGCCCAUUCUUCAUCCCCAAGAUUUUGAUCAACAUGGCAUCAGGUCAUGUCAGCAUGAAAUAUGGUUUCCAGGGUCCAAACCAUGCUGCCGUGACAGCUUGUGCCACAGGCGCUCAUUCUAUUGGCGACGCUACACGGAUGAUUCAAUUUGGAGAUGCAGAUGUGAUGGUGGCUGGAGGAACAGAGUCUAGUAUUGAUGCUUUAUCUAUAGCUGGAUUUUCUAGGUUAAGGGCAUUGUCUACAAAGUAUAACUCUCUUCCACAAGCAUCUUCGAGGCCAUUUGAUUGUGGCAGAGAUGGAUUUGUGAUUGGUGAAGGCUGUGGAGUCAUGGUGUUGGAGGCACUUGACCAUGCAAUGGAACGAGGCGCAAAAAUUUAUGCAGAAGUUCGAGGCUAUGGCAUGUCUGGUGAUGCACACCACAUAACUCAGCCACAAAAUGAUGGUAGAGGUGCUAUCUUAGCCAUGGAGAGGGCAUUGGAACAGUCAGGGCUUCAGGCAGAUCAAAUUGAUUAUUUGAAUGCGCAUGCAACAUCAACUCCUCUCGGGGAUGCUGUGGAGGCAACUGCAAUAAAAUCUGUCUUUGGCCACCACGCGACAUCCGGUGGUCUUGCGUUAUCCUCAACUAAGGGAGCAAUCGGUCAUCUGCUAGGGGCGGCUGGUUCAGUGGAAGCAAUCUUCACCGUGCUAGCAAUCCACCAUGGAGUGGCGCCGCCCACGCUCAACCUGGAGCAGCCCGACCUGCUGUUUGAGGGCGCGUUCAUGCCUCUAACCGCCGCCAAGAAGAUGCAUAUACGGGCCGCCAUCUCGAAUUCCUUCGGGUUUGGUGGAACCAACGCGUCGCUGCUGUUCUCGUGCCCGCCCUAG
Molecule: ribosomal RNA, 1389 nt
Filed under: Triticum aestivum (bread wheat)
Lineage: Eukaryota; Viridiplantae; Streptophyta; Magnoliopsida; Poales; Poaceae
Description: partial small subunit ribosomal RNA
Source: RNAcentral